Long non-coding RNA from Rhodamnia argentea, 506 nucleotides. RefSeq lists it as uncharacterized. The record is from RefSeq and is a predicted model, not a curated record. The transcript has 3 exons. Lineage: Eukaryota; Viridiplantae; Streptophyta; Magnoliopsida; Myrtales; Myrtaceae.
UAGCAAACUAAGCUCUGGAAAGAAUGUCAUUAAAAAUAAAUCAAGGGGCGCUCAAGGGGCGCUCAUACAUAAUUAGGAAAGAGAGAAGAAAAUCAUGAAAAUGCCCGAGUCUUUAGCGUUGUCUGUUCUAGUGACAAUUUCAAAGGACUUGUCAAUUGGAGGAAGUUAAUUAUCCUACGUAUUUUUUAGGAACUUUGCUCUCGAAACCCUUUUUCUCCCUUAAUCAGAACUUCGCGAUAUUGGACGGAGGAGGAUGUGCAAAGAUCUAAAAGACCCAAUGACGGGUAGAAACAAAACCAUAGCGUACAAUAGCUCUUGGCUAAUCAGUUCUACUAAGAUCAAAGUAAGUCACAGUGCAGCAUUUCCGUACCUUUGCCUAAGAUGAGAGAUUCGAAGAGCGAGAAACAAAGCAGCAAUCUAGAGAGAGAGAGAGAGCGAGGAGGACGAGGAGGAAGAAGAAGAAGAGUCUUGGGGUUUGAAAGUCGCAAGCUUUCCCUUCUUCUUUA